UUAUUCCUUGCUCACCAAUUAGUCCCAGCACGUUUUUGAUUCUAUUCCUCAUUCCCCACAAAAAUAUUCCUCCACAAAAAUAUUCUCCCACAUAAGACCUAGAUCUUCAGGUAUAAAUAGAGAGCAACACAAUACAAAUACAAAAGAAGAGGAGAAAGAAAGAAAAAAUCAGCAAAAAACAGUAGCUAAAACAGCCACCCAAAACAGUUUGAGCUUCGUUUCCACCGUGUAAGACCACCCACGUUCAGUUUGAGUUUUUUUACUCAUGUAUUUGAAGAAGUUUCCAUCUAUACAAAGGAUUAUGAGCAUAGGAAGCAAAGCCAUUGGAAGAGUGCAAAAGUGAGCUAGAUGGUGAGGACUAAGUAUGGGGUGCCCACACAAAAGACCAUGCUUGGGGGAAGUCUGAGUACCUCGUGAGCCAUUAUUGCUUCGGCCUUUGGCCUUUCAGGGUGUUUGGAGUGCAAAAAUAUGAAGAAAAGGUGCUCCAACUAGAGAAAAAGAGGUUGGAUUGGAAAGAAGAUACUUGGUGCAUCCCCAUAGCAUCCGCACCUGGGCAAAGCUGAGAUGGAGGAACAAAGGGUGGAUGCGAAGUUGAGAAGCGGAGGACGAGGUGGAUGCGGAGCAUCCACCCCAGCAUCAAUCCCUGAAGCUGAUUCGGACUAGGAUUAGGAGAACUUUGGCCACGACUUUUGUACGCAAUAUAUAGGCCAAAAACACCCCUUUUAGGUCAUCUACAUACAUUUAACACACGGGGAAAGGAGAAAAAGCCACGACAAAGCUUGGGAAUCACAGAAUUCCUCUUGAGUUCUUACUUUUUCCUUCUUUUAUUGAUUUUUAUGUAUUCUUGGGAAUUAUUUGAAAUUGUUACCAUGAGCAUGCGUGGCUAAGAACCCUAUUGUUCUAAGGUCAUGGGUAGAACAUGAAUGUUGAUAUUUGAAGUUUAAUUUGACGAAGUUGAUUUUAUCA
This is a long non-coding RNA of Nicotiana attenuata, 966 nucleotides long. RefSeq lists it as uncharacterized. Lineage: Eukaryota; Viridiplantae; Streptophyta; Magnoliopsida; Solanales; Solanaceae. The transcript has 3 exons. The record is from RefSeq and is a predicted model, not a curated record.